UACGUAGGGUGCAAGCGUUAAUCGGAAUUACUGGGCGUAAAGCGUGCGCAGGCGGUUAUAUAAGACAGUCGUGAAAUCCCUGGGCUCAACCUAGGAACUGCGAUUGUGACUGUAUGGCUAGAGUGUGUCAGAGGGGGGUAGAAUUCCACGUGUAGCAGUGAAAUGCGUAGAUAUGUGGAGGAAUACCGAUGGCGAAGGCACUUUACUGGGCCAGUACUGACACUCAGAGACGAAAGCUAGGGGAGCAAACAGC
This 253-nucleotide ribosomal RNA is filed under the name uncultured bacterium. RNAcentral describes it as "partial 16S ribosomal RNA". It matches the Rfam family "Bacterial small subunit ribosomal RNA", at positions 524 to 776 of the family's 1533-position model. The record is from RNAcentral.